This is a non-coding RNA of Callorhinchus milii (elephant shark), 72 nucleotides long. The record is from the annotation of a RefSeq genome assembly. NCBI's taxonomy places the organism in Eukaryota, Metazoa, Chordata, Chondrichthyes, Chimaeriformes, Callorhinchidae.
GCCUCGUAGCUUAGUGGUUAGAGCGCUCGCCUCGUAAGCGAGAGGACCUGGGUUCGAUUCCCAGGCGGGACG